Molecule: long non-coding RNA, 1036 nt
Filed under: Anas platyrhynchos platyrhynchos (common mallard)
Lineage: Eukaryota; Metazoa; Chordata; Aves; Anseriformes; Anatidae
Description: lncRNA (ENSAPLG00000016524.1)
Source: RNAcentral
CCCCUGGGGGUCCCCGCAGUCUCCUGGGGGUCCCCGCAGUCCCCUGGGUGCUGUUGAGGUGUCCCCGUGGUCCCCAGGGUGCUGCUGAGGUCUCUCUGUGGUCUUCAGGGUGCCAGGGAGGUGUCCCCAAUGUCCCUUGGGUGCUGGGGACAUGUCCCCAAGGUCCCCUGGCUGUGCCCACAGAUCCCUGGGUGCUGUUGAGGUGUCCCCAAGGUCCCCAGGGUGCCCGAACGGUUUCCUCAAGGUCCCCUGGGUGCUGGGGACAUGUCCCCAAGGUCCCCUGGGUGUCCCCACAGAUCCCUGGGUGCUGGGGACGUGUCCCCAAGGUCCCCAGGGUGCUGAGGACAUGUCCCCAAGGCCCCCUGGGUGUCCCCACAGAUCCCUGGGUGCUGUUGAGGUGUCCCCAAGGUCCCCAGGGUGCCAGGAGGGUGUCCCCAAGGUCCCUUGGGUGCUGGGGACAUGUCCCCAAGGUCUCCUGGGUGUCUCUGUAGUCUCCUGGGUGCUGCUGAGGUGUCCCCAAGGUGCCAGAGAGGUGUCCCCAGGGUGCUGUUGAGGUGUCCCUGUGGUCCCCAGGGUGCUGAGGACAUGUCCCCAAGGUCCCCUGGAUGCCAGGGAGGUGUCCCCAAUGUCUCUUGGGUGCUGGGGACAUGUCCCCAGGGUCCCCUCAGUGCUGUUGAGGUGUCCCUGUGGUCCUCAGGGUGCCAGGGAGGCAUCCCCAAUGUCCCUUGGGUGCUGCAGACAUGUCCCCAAGGUGCCAGAGAGGUGUCCCCAGGGUGCUGUUGAGGUGUCCCUGUGGUCCCCAGGGCACUGAGGACAUGUCCCCAAGGUCCCCUGGGUGCCAGGGAGGUGUCCCCAAGGUCCUCAGGUUGUCCCUACAGUCCCCUGGGUGCUGCUGAGGUGUCCCCAAGGUCCUCAGGGUGUCAGGGAGGUGUCCCUAAUGUCCCUUGGGUGCUGAGGACGUGUCCCCAGGGUGCUGAGGACGUGUCCCCAAGGUCCCCAGGGUGCUGUUGAGGCGUCCCCAAUGUCCCCAGGGUGC